Molecule: long non-coding RNA, 328 nt
Organism: Nycticebus coucang (slow loris)
Lineage: Eukaryota; Metazoa; Chordata; Mammalia; Primates; Lorisidae
Exons: 3
Source: RefSeq, a predicted model, not a curated record
GAAAAGCGCACAAGCUCAGAGAUGAACAGCAAAGUGUCUGGGGCCACACAGCUGGCUGGUCGUGAAGUUAUAAGAACCCUCGCCUGACCUUUGCCACUGCCUCCCAGGCUUUUCUCAGCCACCUGCCUGGAGAAGGAUAAUCAGAUGGUUCCUCAGCACCAUUCCUGAGUAACAGCAGAGCAUCGAUGGUGUGUCUCGCUUUAAGCAGAUUAAGAAGAAAAGGAACACCCCAGCAUCCUCCGAGAAGCCCCUUUUCUCUCUGGAGUGACUGGCUGCAUUCUGUAUGGGCCUAGUGAUUGCCAAAUUUCCUGUGCCCAGUUAAUAAAAG